ACAGUGUGAACGUCCGCUCCUGGUGGCUGUCCUCCACCGAGACGUUGCACUGGAGGGCCUGCAGAGCGCCCCCCAACAUGUCCCCGAGGUGCCCAGGACCCAGGGCAGUAUCCCAUGGAGCUGCUGAGGGGACAGCACCUCUUCUAAGGCUGGGCUGGGGUGUGGAGCUGCCAGCCACCAGGGGCAGAUCUCAAGACCAGUUAUGGAAAGAUGGGAAAGACUUCAAACACACUCACGAUGCUCUAGCCAAGAAAAUCUGCAGAACACAAGCUCACAUGGUUCCCAUCAAGAUCGACAGAAGCACAGGACACGGAGGGAGGAACAGGAAGUGUUCAGGGAGCUUGGAGCAGGAGCCCAGACUCCAUGCUUAAGGUGACACUGGGCCACCGAGGUCUGGAGUAGACAAAGCCUGGGAGUCCUAGGAGAUGCCUGCCACUUAAGAGACCCCAUGAGCAUGAGUCUGAGGGGCACGAUGACCCUGAUGGCUGUGCCAUGGCACUGUCAGAAAGGGGGGCAGGAAACACCCGGCACUUCAGGGCCCUGGGGAUCGCCCCUGCCUUCCUCUCUCCAGAUCACCAGUCAGGCAGCCAGGAAGGCAGACGCAGUCUGUUGAGAAUGGCACUCGGCACCGAUCUGCAGGAGGCAGUUUCCUGGGUGAGGGAACACCCCUGCCUCGAGUGAGUGCUGGCACCUGUCCUGAAGGUCCACUCCAACCCCAUGGGGCCCUUCUGCAUCUACACCACACGGUGCACUGUUCUCCCCACGGGAGAGGAUGGGCUGUAACCCAGGUGGACGUCAAGAUGAAGUCCAGUAACUGCUAAUAUCCUGACUUUUAGUUAAAAGUUUUCUGCAAAAAUCAAAACAUUCUAUGAAGUGCCUCCAGAGCUGCACACAGUGUCAGCGCUGCUGCUUCUCAAGCUGACUGUCUUGAGAUGGGAAGUUGACUCUGUCACCCAGGGCUGCAGCCCCGAGUUACCACCAACUGCUGGCCGGAAAGGCAAGGGACCCUGCAGCAGCAGUCCCCUCCGCACCCACAGCCACCCUGGGGCUGUCUCCAGGACGGGCUGAUGCCAGGUUCGUGUGGUUCCUUCCCUCACCGCACCUCGGGGCUCAGCCCAAGUCGGACCCUGCGCGACUCAAGACGACUCCCCCCCGCAGAGGGGGCGGGCGGUGACAUCCCCUCAGUUGGAGCCAGAUGGCCUCCAGCAGUACCCACGGAAAGCACUCUGAUCAUCUCGAGAUCCCCGCCACAGACAACGGCAGCUCCCAGGAGGGUGCGGGGAAGUGGAGGUGCAGGAGCUCAGGGGUGCAGUGGGUGAGCCAGGCUGGCAUUUCCUGUCCUGACCUCAGCUGCCAGGCCCUUCCCACCCUGAGACACCCAAAGCUACUUUUAAAAGUCACCUGAGCACUGUUUUUGGCAUCUUGCAUUGGUUGCAGAGCACAGGGCAGACGUGGGGCACAGACAUGCAGGGCAGAAAGAGGUCGAGUGACUCUGAGCAGAGCACGGGUGAGGCCCUGGCCACAGCACCCGGCACCACGGGAACAGAGGAACCUGCAGAGACCUGGGCUGCCUCCCUGGACAUGCUCCCAACACUAGAUGACUGGCCCAUGCUGCAGUAACAGACCAGGGCUACCCACCCAACCGCUGCUAUUGCCCACUACAUUAACCCCCCCGGGGCCACUAUAACCAACCAGCGCUCCUAUAACUGACCAUAGCUACUAUAACCAACCAGCGCUGCUAUAACCAACCAUGGCUACAAUAACCAACCAUGGCUACUGUAACCAACCAGGGCCACCAUAACCAACCAGUGCUGCUAUAACCAACCAGGGCCACUAUAACCAUGGCCACAAUAACCAACCAAUGCUGCUAUAACCAACCAGGGCCACAAUAACCAACCAGUGCUGCUAUAACUAACAAUGGCUACAAUAACCAACCAGUGCUGCUAUAACCAACCAGGGCCACAAUAACCAACCAGUGCUGCUAUAACCAACCAGUGCUGCUUUGGCCAGGGCUAACCAACCACUACCAUAAUAACCAACUGUGACUACAGUAAUCACUGAGUGCCACUAUAACCACCAAGGUUUCUAUAACAGACCAAGUUUUCUAUAUCUGGCCAAGGUUUCUAUAACGGACCAGGGUUGCUAUCACUGACCAGGGCUACAUUAACCACACCGGGCCCUGCCACCUUCCCCCCGGGCUGGCAGUGGCUCCUUGUGCACGGCAAAGGCCACUAGAGGACCCCCAACACCCACGUGGAACCUGAGGGCUCCUAAGCAUGAAGCUGACCCUCCAGCUCUGAGAGACAGGGGGUCAAAGAGGGGAAACGGGCACUUGGGGAAUCCUGAGCUCUGUGGUGAUUUAAGCCCAACCCAUCUGGUGUACACACAAAUGCCCUUUGAUCUGUGUGGCUUCAUUAACAGAGGAACAGGAGCUUUAGUUGUGAAAGACAAACCGGGCGCAGCCCCUGGCCAGAUGUGCGGCCCCCUCCUGGCGACGUUCCAGGCAGCUGAGUCUUGGUAAAGUGGCUCCCAGGCACACACGAGGUCACCGGAGCAGGGCGCUCCCGCAGCCACCUCUCCCGGGUGCCCAACCUCAAGACUCCCAUGCGCUCCUUCCCUACUCAGCCCCAGCCAGGACAGACUCCACUCCAGCCUAGCUGCCCUGGAUGAGCUCACCAUCAGCUGUGUCUGGCUGCCCGGGGAGGCUGGGCCUGGCUUUCUGCAGGCCUCUCCGGCACCUGUGCCCCUCCUCCUUUUCCCUACCUGUCCUCUUCAUCUGCAAGGGAAUCAGGGACCACCUCUGUUCACAGGCAGCUGCCCCUGGGGCCACUGUCCACAACUCUUCCCGACUCCAAGGACGGCUGCUCCUGUGACUGCAAGGGCAGCCCAGGCCACGGCCCGAGAGACACUUCCCACAUCUGCCCCUGGGUGGCAGCCGGGGGUGGGGGUUUCCUGUGGCGUCUCGGCCCCUGCUUCCCGCACAGGACCUGCGGCCAGGGGCUACCCCCCCAGCCCCCCAGUCCCCGGCCUGCAGGGGCUCAAAGAUGGCCCUGCUUUUGCUGUGCACUGCCCUCAGAGUGUCCUCAGGCUCAGUGAGGCGGGGGAGGCACCUCCAGCUGUGCCUCGGGGGCCAGGCCAGGGGCAUGCCUCAGUUCCUGCCCCG
This 3163-nucleotide long non-coding RNA is filed under the name Heterocephalus glaber (naked mole-rat). RNAcentral's name for it is "lncRNA (ENSHGLG00100048709.1)". The record is from RNAcentral. Lineage: Eukaryota; Metazoa; Chordata; Mammalia; Rodentia; Bathyergidae.